UCGGGAAUUUUGGGCAAUGGGCGAAAGCCUGACCCAGCAACGCCGCGUGAAGGAUGAAAUCCCUCGGGAUGUAAACUUCGUAAGAACAGGAAGAAUAAGUAGGGGACAAUACCCCCUAUGAUGACGGUACUGUUUGUAAGCUCCGGCUAACUCCGUGCCAGCAGCCGCGGUAAUACGGGGGGAGCAAGCGUUGUUCGGAUUUACUGGGCGUAAAGGGCGCGUAGGCGGCCACGACAAGUCACUUGUGAAAUCUCCGGGCUUAACCCGGAACGGUCAAGUGAUACUGUCGGGCUAGAGUGCAGAAGGGGCAACUGGAAUUCUCGGUGUAGCGGUGAAAUGCGUAGAUAUCGAGAGGAACACCUGCGGCGAAGGCGGGUUGCUGGGCUGACACUGACGCUGAGGCGCGAAAGCCAGGGGAGCGAACGG
RNAcentral lists this ribosomal RNA (426 nucleotides) under uncultured bacterium. Its description in RNAcentral is "bacterial SSU rRNA". It matches the Rfam family "Bacterial small subunit ribosomal RNA", at positions 355 to 775 of the family's 1533-position model. The record is from RNAcentral.